Molecule: ribosomal RNA, 581 nt
Filed under: uncultured Gammaproteobacteria bacterium
Lineage: Bacteria; Pseudomonadati; Pseudomonadota; Gammaproteobacteria
Description: bacterial SSU rRNA
Rfam family: Bacterial small subunit ribosomal RNA
Source: RNAcentral
ACGGGUGAGUAAUACGUAGGAAUCUGCCUUGUUGAGCGGGAUAGCCUAGGGAAACUUAGGGUAAUACCGCAUAAGCCCGAGAGGGGAAAGCCGGGGAGCCGCGAGGCCCUGGCGCAAUAAGAUGAGCCUACGUCGGAUUAGCUAGUUGGUGGGGUAAAGGCCUACCAAGGCGAUGAUCCGUAGCUGGUCUGAGAGGACGACCAGCCACACUGGGACUGAGACACGGCCCAGACUCCUACGGGAGGCAGCAGUGGGGAAUAUUGGACAAUGGGCGCAAGCCUGAUCCAGCAAUGCCGCGUGUGUGAAGAAGGCCUGAGGGUUGUAAAGCACUUUCAGUGGGGAGAAAGAGGCUGUCGUUAAUACCGACAGUGGAUGAUGUUACCCACAGAAGAAGCACCGGCUAACUCUGUGCCAGCAGCCGCGGUAAUACAGAGGGUGCGAGCGUUAAUCGGAAUUACUGGGCGUAAAGGGUGCGUAGGUGGUUUUGUAAGUUAGAUGUGAAAUUCCUGGGCUUAACCUGGGGACUGCGUCUGAUACUGCGAAGCUAGAGUACUGUAGAGGAAAGUGGAAUUUCCGGUGUA